UAACGUCUUUACUGACUCUUCGGUUUCUUGGGCUUUAGAGUUUGAUCUUUGGCUCAGAGACUCUCUCCUUCAAGGAAGGUUGAAACGAUUGCUACAAAUAACAAACAUCUUUUCUUAUUGGUGGUUAAUGUUACAAGAAUCAUUGAUUUUCUUACGUUUGUUCCAGAUAUGGAGAUGUGAAUGAUUGGGAAGAGAAAGCUCCGAACCCUAGAAUGGCGCAUCCAUGGCCUGAGCAUUUGUACCCGUUGCACGUUGCAAUGGGUG
This 264-nucleotide long non-coding RNA is filed under the name Brassica napus (rape). RNAcentral describes it as "long non-coding RNA (BNAP_LNC004219)". Lineage: Eukaryota; Viridiplantae; Streptophyta; Magnoliopsida; Brassicales; Brassicaceae. The record is from RNAcentral.